GCCGCCUUCGUCUAGUGGCCUAGGACGCCAGGUUCUCAACCUGGAAAUCAUGGGUUCAAAUCCCAUAGGCGGCACAA
Molecule: transfer RNA, 77 nt
Filed under: Candidatus Parcubacteria bacterium
Lineage: Bacteria; Candidatus Parcubacteria
Description: tRNA-Glu
Rfam family: tRNA
About the family: Transfer RNA (tRNA) molecules are approximately 80 nucleotides in length.
Source: RNAcentral